UACGUAGGGUGCAAGCGUUGUCCGGAAUUAUUGGGCGUAAAGAGCAUGUAGGUGGAUCAAUUAGUCUGCUGUGAAAGUCAAAGGCUCAACCUUUGAAAGCCGGUGGAUACUGUUGAUCUAGAGUACGGAAGAGGCGAGUGGAAUUCCUGGUGUAGCGGUGGAAUGCGCAGAUACUCAGGGAGGAACACCAUGGCGGAAGGCAGCUGCGCUGGGACGUACU
RNAcentral lists this ribosomal RNA (220 nucleotides) under uncultured bacterium. Its description in RNAcentral is "partial 16S ribosomal RNA". It matches the Rfam family "Bacterial small subunit ribosomal RNA", at positions 524 to 741 of the family's 1533-position model. The record is from RNAcentral.